Molecule: ribosomal RNA, 247 nt
Filed under: uncultured Actinomycetes bacterium
Lineage: Bacteria; Bacillati; Actinomycetota; Actinomycetes
Description: uncultured actinobacterium partial 16S ribosomal RNA
Rfam family: Bacterial small subunit ribosomal RNA
Source: RNAcentral
AAUCAACGCUGGCGGCGUGCCUAACACAUGCAAGUCGAACGCGAAAGGGGCUUCGGCCCUGAGUAGAGCGGCGAACGGGUGAGUAACACGUGGGUGACCUGCCUUUAGCUCUGGGAUAAGCCUGGGAAACUGGGUCUAAUACCGGAUAUGACUCCAUAGCGCAUGGUGUGGGGUGGAAAGCUUUUGCGGCUAGGGAUGGGCCCGCGGCCUAUCAGCUUGUUGGUGGGGUGAUGGCCUACCAAGGCGA